GAAGGAAACUGGCAAAUACAUGAAGUCAGUCUCCAUGGUGCGCUUCCACUCCAGGGACUGUACGAGAGGAAAAAAAGGUGCUUCAUAUCCCAACCAAAAGUAUUCUCUGUCUGAGGACCAUUGCCCAAGUGUGAAGUAGGAGACUUGUACAAUUCAAAGGCACCCAUGCGAUGCUCGUGCGAAGCUCUUUUCUCAGCCAGGCACGACAGCAGUGACAUCUCCACCGUGCUUGUCCCACGUCUCCAGAAAGGUGGUUCCAGGUACAAAAGCUCAAGUGGACUGGAGGCUCCCAAAGCUUCUCCCCGUGCCAUCUCCCCACUGGCUGCUGGGUCCAGUGGUGGCCGCUCCUUGGGUACUAGGAACUCCUCGUUCUACAAUGAGAAGCUGCAAGGACUCCCAGAGGCCCAUGGACUGGAGCUGUUAAUGUCCUGCAGAUGGGAGCCACUCUCUCGCUGUGAUCACCAAGGUACCCAGGGCCUCCGGAGGCCACAAAGAAUGGAUAAUUGCAACCCACAGGCCUCCUUCAGAUUUCCUGCAAGCCCUUCUGGUCAGCAAAUACUCUAUGAAGAGUAUGCAUGGAAUGGGCAUUAUUCCUUUCCUUAA
RNAcentral lists this long non-coding RNA (603 nucleotides) under Papio anubis (olive baboon). RNAcentral describes it as "lncRNA (ENSPANG00000047488.1)". Lineage: Eukaryota; Metazoa; Chordata; Mammalia; Primates; Cercopithecidae. The record is from RNAcentral.